Molecule: long non-coding RNA, 274 nt
Filed under: Prunus persica (peach)
Lineage: Eukaryota; Viridiplantae; Streptophyta; Magnoliopsida; Rosales; Rosaceae
Description: long non-coding RNA (PPER_LNC005977)
Source: RNAcentral
AGGCAUCGGUUCUACAAUGUUAAAAAUGGAAGUGCCGCACUGAAUUGAAACCUCUUAGGUUUUCAAUAACACUAGGCUUGAAAAACUUGGGCUUUCAAAAGAAUUUAGUUGUUUUCCUUCUUCUUCUUCACGUCUAGUGUCGCAACUCACAGGCGAUGGCAAUUUUCCCCGUGAGUAAAGGUCUUCGCAAGGAUUUGACCUUAAUGGGUCAAGUAUGAAUGAUAAAAAAAAAAUAAAAAAAAAGGAGUAUAAGGACAGGUUCAAGGGAAUUUUC